ACGAACGCUGGCGGCGUGCCUAAUACAUGCAAGUCGAGCGGAAUGAUGAAGAAGCUUGCUUCUUCUGAUUUUAGCGGCGGACGGGUGAGUAACACGUGGGCAACCUACCUUGUAGAUUGGGAUAACUCCGGGAAACCGGGGCUAAUACCGAAUAAUCCAUUUUGCUUCAUGGCGAGAUGUUGAAAGACGGUUUCGGCUGUCACUAUAAGAUGGGCCCGCGGCGCAUUAGCUAGUUGGUAGGGUAAUGGCCUACCAAGGCGACGAUGCGUAGCCGACCUGAGAGGGUGAUCGGCCACACUGGGACUGAGACACGGCCCAGACUCCUACGGGAGGCAGCAGUAGGGAAUCUUCCACAAUGGACGAAAGUCUGAUGGAGCAACGCCGCGUGAGUGAGAAGGUUUUCGGAUCGUAAAACUCUGUUGUAAGGGAAGAACACGUACGAGAGUAACUGCUCGUACCUUGACGGUACCUUAUUAGAAAGCCACGGCUAACUACGUG
This 498-nucleotide ribosomal RNA is filed under the name uncultured bacterium. Its description in RNAcentral is "bacterial SSU rRNA". It matches the Rfam family "Bacterial small subunit ribosomal RNA", at positions 29 to 507 of the family's 1533-position model. The record is from RNAcentral.